This is a long non-coding RNA of Phyllopteryx taeniolatus (common seadragon), 269 nucleotides long. RefSeq lists it as uncharacterized. The record is from RefSeq and is a predicted model, not a curated record. The transcript is spliced from 3 exons. NCBI's taxonomy places the organism in Eukaryota, Metazoa, Chordata, Actinopteri, Syngnathiformes, Syngnathidae.
GUCCACAGUAAGUUGCAUCAUUCAGAUCCUCUGCAGGCCAUGGAAAGGCCAAAAAAAUGCAGCUGCUCUCUCACUAUCUGACAUAUGGAUGAAGACCAAGGCCUCUUCUUUGUGGAGCCACAGUCUGGCAGUAGGACACCCUCAGCAUCAAAGUUGCCUUGAUGUUCUCAUUUCCUUCAGGCCACAGAGGUUAGGACAAAAUGCGAGGAUGGGCACAACGUUGUAACCCACAGAAAGAAAGCCAGCGACAUAAUAACUGUGAGAAUGUG